AGGACACAGAAAAAUAACUGACAAACUGACAAUACAGGUGGACAGUUUCAAAUUUCCUGCAUUGCUGAGAAUUCUGCCAGACACACUAUGGCUUAUGGAUCAGAGAUGGAUGCCCCAACAUUACAGAAGAACUUCAGAUCAAAAUCAGAAGAAACUGGAAAUCAACAGGUAAGAAAUUAUACAAAUACUGAGAAUUAAUACUGCAUUGUUUUGUGACCAAUGGCCAGGGAGGAAAUCAAGGUGGAAAUUAAAAAGAUCCUAGAAUCAAAUGAAAAUGAAAUCAUAUGUUACCAGAACACUGGUGACUACCAUUUUUUCAUCAUACCUGAUGACUACCAUUUUCUUCUCUGUUUAUUGAUUGAUUCCAUUUUCAGUCCUCACCUGAAAGUGACUUUUAGAGAAAGACACCAUUUGUCUUUCUGCCUCACUGUUUCUCUGUAGACAUAACCCUUGCCCAUCACUCAGAUCCUCCUCCAUGAAGCCAUGGUGCUGAAGAUGCUGAUGGACAUCCUUUCAGUGGUGAGCUGACUACUGGGGCUCACAGUCUCCAACUGCAGGGACAAGAAUUACAAACCUGCACAUUGUCUCCAACACAGCUUUCAGCAUUAGGUAGAAGCUGACAGUUAUGAAAAGGAUUAGAGGUUCUGGAACAAGGUAUCUUGGGAUCAACAAAUGGAUAAAAGAACAUACAGAUGGACGAAGGCAUAUCUACUACUUCAGGAAAGACCUUGCAGCUGAAACCAGCCAAAUUCUGGGAGAGAGCAUGGAACACAGAGGAGCACAACAAACUGGUCAUGGCUAUGCAUGACCAACACACCCCCCCUGUGACCAGCAGCUAAGCAGUCAGCCAAUGGCAGUAAACUUGCAGGAUUCUGUGUGGGAAAAGGACAGCCCAGAGACAGUGGGCCCCAGCCUUAAAUUUCUAUAUUCUCAGGACACAGCUUUCACCACCCCAUUGUCUUUGUUCCAUUGCUCCUUCAUAUUCUUCCCCCUUUUCAUUAGCUUUUCCCCUUUUCCUACCUUCACUCUCUCCUUUCCUGCAUCCCAACCUCACUGGCAUUGCUUCUUCUCCUCUCUCCAUCCUGCUACCUCUCUCCAUCUCUUAACCUUGCUUUUUUCUUUCUCUCACCCUUUUUACUCCCACAAACUCAGAUGCCAACUCAAGUGACAAUGAUGGAUAAAGUAGACACUCAGACAUCCAGCAGUUCAGAGAAAACAGAACCACAAAGAAUUCUACCAAGAACUACUUUCUGGUUUCUAGAAAGAUUUCAGCAAAUGCUCAAGGAUUAUUCCACAGAACAAGAAGACGCAAAGCCCAUUCGGGGCUGGGCAAUAUCUUGGUUACUUCCCAUCUUCCUGUACAAAGCCUGAAUGGCUCUGUGUAACACAGGCUAAAACAAUACAUUCUUUUCUAUGUUUUGUUAUGGUUUUUAAUUUAUUUUAAGUGGGAAGUAUCUGUGCUUGCAAGAGUUUUUGUGCACCAUGUGUAUGCAGUUUCCUGAAGGGAUAGAGGAGGGAUGAGAAUCUCCAGGGACAGGAACUAACAGGCAGGGGUAAGCUGUCAUUUGCGUCCAGUGAAACAACUAUUGCUACUCUGCAUAGUAGUUAAGGCUCUUCACUGCUGAGCCAUUUCUCCAAUUCAAGGACCAGAACUUUGGGAAUAAAAAAGUCACCAAGAUAAUUGCUGAAAAUGUAAUUAAAUGUCUUCAGACACUAAUGUUAUACAAUUUCGCUGAUUGCUACUUUUAGAUGUGAUAAAAUGGAAUGUGCGUAAACACAUUUUUCUUUUUAUUUCUUAUAAUCAAUAACUUCCCAGAAGGUGGUUUCAGUGUGAGAAUGUCUUGUAAAGUGCAUGAACUCUCUGUUACUCUAGCACUAUCACUCUGACUGUCUUCUGUCUUUAAAUCUGGCUCUGUCCAAAGGACCACUAGUCUACAAUCCACACUACCAGAGGAGCUAGGAAAAAAGGAGGACCUCAAGAGAAGACUGUAUAGUCCCUCAAUGAAGGGGAUGGGUACAAGAUCCCCUGACCAAAGUGGGAGCCCAGAAGCAGGGACAGGAAGGAGAGCCUUCAUCCUGUUGCUGUUCAAAGCAGAAACAGACAUCCACUACUAAGCACUGAACCACACUACUGGAAUUCAGUUGUGGAGAAGGAGGAGGGAUGAGCAAAGGAGCCAACACAGGGCUCGAGAGACCUGCAGAAACAGUGGACUUGACCUACUGAUAGCAUGGAGACCCUUGUCAUAAAGCUGGGAGAAUAGCAUUGGACAAAACCAAGCCCUCUGAAUGUGGGUGCCAGCUAGGAGCCCAAGACAGUCUAUGGAGCCAGUCUUUAUCCCUAGAGCACAAUGGUCUUUGGGAGCCCAUUCCCUAUGGAGUGAUAUUCUUGUAGCCCAGAUACAGCAAGGAUGGCCUAGGCCAUCCCCCAAAUGAUUUG
RNAcentral lists this long non-coding RNA (2437 nucleotides) under Cricetulus griseus (Chinese hamster). RNAcentral describes it as "lncRNA (ENSCGRG00015034678.1)". Lineage: Eukaryota; Metazoa; Chordata; Mammalia; Rodentia; Cricetidae. The record is from RNAcentral.